RNAcentral lists this ribosomal RNA (720 nucleotides) under uncultured bacterium. RNAcentral's name for it is "bacterial SSU rRNA". It matches the Rfam family "Bacterial small subunit ribosomal RNA", at positions 125 to 861 of the family's 1533-position model. The record is from RNAcentral.
CGUGCCCCUUAGUCUGGGAUAGCCACUGGNAACGGUGAUUAAUACCGGAUACUCCUUCUNCUAUUAAUUAGNAGUCGGGAAAGUUUUUCGCUAAGGGAUCGGCCUAUAUUGUAUCAGCUAGUUGGUGGGGUAAAGGNCUCACCAAGGCAAUGACACAUAGCGGGUCUGAGAGGAUGAUCCGCCACACUGGUACUGAGACACGGACCAGACUCCUACGGGAGGCAGCAGUGGGGAAUAUUGCACAAUGGGGGAAACCCUGAUGCAGCAACGCCGCGUGGAGGAUGACACAUUUCGGUGCGUAAACUCCUUUUAUAUAAGAAGAUAAUGACGGUAUUAUAUGAAUAAGCACCGGCUAACUCCGUGCCAGCAGCCGCGGUAAUACGGAGGGUGCAAGCGUUAUUCGGAAUCACUGGGCGUAAAGGGUGCGUAGGCGGUUUGGAAAGUCAGAUGUGAAAGCCUAUGGCUUAACCAUAGAACUGCAUUUGAAACUUCCAGACUAGAAUACUGAAGGGGCAGAUGGAAUUAGUGGUGUAGGGGUAAAAUCCGUAGAUAUCACUAGGAAUACCGAAAGCGAAAGCGAUCUGCUGGGAAGUUAUUGACGCUGAGACACGAAAGCGUGGGGAGCNAACGGGAUUAGAUACCCUGGUAGUCCACGCCGUAAACGAUGUCUACUAGUCGUUUGGGGGAUCUUAGUAUUCUUGGUGACGGAGUUAACGCGAU